RNAcentral lists this long non-coding RNA (324 nucleotides) under Ananas comosus (pineapple). RNAcentral describes it as "long non-coding RNA (ACOM_LNC031926)". Lineage: Eukaryota; Viridiplantae; Streptophyta; Magnoliopsida; Poales; Bromeliaceae. The record is from RNAcentral.
UAAUACUAAACUAAUUGCAGACCAUAAGUCCCACUAUAUUGUUAUCGAUAGCACCAAAUAUUUAGUGAUAUCAAGUUUUCUGCCGUUAGAUCAAUCUCUUUGACCAUUUACAUCUGUUAAAUUAUACUAUUCAACUAACUAUACCCAGUCAAUUUUAGAAGACCACUAUCAUCUUAAGUUCCUAACCGUACAUCGCUUCAUCCAAGGCCAGAAACUUAAUAGCACCAAUAAUUUAGUGCUAUUAAUAGUAUUCCAGCGUAGUUCUACAGACCCUUUUUUAUUAUAUCGAUCUUUUGAAUGAUGCUUAUCAGUUGAAAAAAGAAA